This 282-nucleotide long non-coding RNA is filed under the name Pan troglodytes (chimpanzee). Its description in RNAcentral is "long non-coding RNA NONPTRT013649". Lineage: Eukaryota; Metazoa; Chordata; Mammalia; Primates; Hominidae. The record is from RNAcentral.
CUUCACUAAGAGCUCCUAAUCUUUACAUUUCUUUGACAUACUCUUGUCUCACACGGUAAAUUUGCUUGGAUGAUAUAUUAUUGCAUUUUUUGUUUAUUAUUUGAUUAAAAUAAGAUAGCUAAACAAAAAUUUUAAUGUUGCAAUACAUUAAUUUUUAUUGAUUGUAUAAAAUUGAUGGUACAUAAUAACUGCAAUCUUAAUUUUGGUAUUAAAAUACCUUGAUUUUCUUUUUUUUAAGAAAAAAAUCACUUUUACUGCACUUAAAAAAAAAAACAAUGAAUA